RNAcentral lists this ribosomal RNA (468 nucleotides) under uncultured bacterium. Its description in RNAcentral is "partial 16S ribosomal RNA". It matches the Rfam family "Bacterial small subunit ribosomal RNA", at positions 28 to 507 of the family's 1533-position model. The record is from RNAcentral.
GACGAACGCUGGCGGCGUGCUUAACACAUGCAAGUCGAACGGAAAGGCCCUGCUUUUGUGGGGUGCUCGAGUGGCGAACGGGUGAGUAACACGUGAGUAACCUGCCCUUGACUUUGGGAUAACUUCAGGAAACUGGGGCUAAUACCGGAUAGGAGCUCCUGCUGCAUGGUGGGGGUUGGAAAGUUUCGGCGGUUGGGGAUGGACUCGCGGCUUAUCAGCUUGUUGGUGGGGUAGUGGCUUACCAAGGCUUUGACGGGUAGCCGGCCUGAGAGGGUGACCGGCCACAUUGGGACUGAGAUACGGCCCAGGCUCCUACGGGAGGCAGCAGUCGGGCAUACUGCACAAUGGGCGGAAGCCUGAUGCAGCAACGCAGCGUGCGGGAUCACGGCCUUCGGGUUGUAAACCGCUUUCGCCGGUGACGAAGCGUGAGUGACGGUAAUGGGUAAAGAAGCAACGGCUAACUACGUG